This 739-nucleotide ribosomal RNA is filed under the name Staphylococcus condimenti. RNAcentral's name for it is "bacterial SSU rRNA". It matches the Rfam family "Bacterial small subunit ribosomal RNA", at positions 91 to 817 of the family's 1533-position model. Lineage: Bacteria; Bacillati; Bacillota; Bacilli; Caryophanales; Staphylococcaceae. The record is from RNAcentral.
GUUAGCGGCGGACGGGUGAGUAACACGUGGGUAACCUACCUAUAAGACUGGAAUAACUCCGGGAAACCGGGGCUAAUGCCGGAUAAUAUGCAGAACCGCAUGGUUCUGCAAUGAAAGACGGUUUUGCUGUCACUUAUAGAUGGACCCGCGCCGUAUUAGCUAGUUGGUAAGGUAACGGCUUACCAAGGCAACGAUACGUAGCCGACCUGAGAGGGUGAUCGGCCACACUGGAACUGAGACACGGUCCAGACUCCUACGGGAGGCAGCAGUAGGGAAUCUUCCGCAAUGGGCGAAAGCCUGACGGAGCAACGCCGCGUGAGUGAUGAAGGUCUUCGGAUCGUAAAACUCUGUUAUUAGGGAAGAACAAGUGCGUAGGUAACUAUGCGCACCUUGACGGUACCUAAUCAGAAAGCCACGGCUAACUACGUGCCAGCAGCCGCGGUAAUACGUAGGUGGCAAGCGUUAUCCGGAAUUAUUGGGCGUAAAGCGCGCGUAGGCGGUUUUUUAAGUCUGAUGUGAAAGCCCACGGCUCAACCGUGGAGGGUCAUUGGAAACUGGAAAACUUGAGUGCAGAAGAGGAAAGUGGAAUUCCAUGUGUAGCGGUGAAAUGCGCAGAGAUAUGGAGGAACACCAGUGGCGAAGGCGACUUUCUGGUCUGCAACUGACGCUGAUGUGCGAAAGCGUGGGGAUCAAACAGGAUUAGAUACCCUGGUAGUCCACGCCGUAAACGAUGAGUGCU